This 148-nucleotide non-coding RNA is filed under the name Pan troglodytes (chimpanzee). Lineage: Eukaryota; Metazoa; Chordata; Mammalia; Primates; Hominidae. The record is from Rfam by way of RNAcentral.
GCCGGGUGUGGUGAUGGGCGCCUGUAAUCCCAGCUACCUGGGAGGCUGAGGCAGGAGAAUUGCUUGAACCCAGGAGGCGGAGGUUACAGUGAGCCAAGAUCAUGCCACUGUACUCUAGCCUGGGCAACAGAGCGAGACUUUGUCUCAA